UGCAUGCAAGUUGAGCGAAGCUUUUUGGUAGUUUACUACUAGAAAUGACUGAGCGGCGAACGGGUGAGUAACGCGUGAGCAAUCUACCUUAGUUACUGGGAUAGCCCGAGGAAACUCGGAUUAAUACCGGAUAUUCUUAUUUUUUCACAUGAAGUUUUAAGGAAAGGUCAGCCGAACUAAGAUGAGCUCGCGUUCUAUCAGCUAGUUGGUGGGGUAAAAGCCUACCAAGGCUACGACGGAUAGCUGGUCUGAGAGGACGAUCAGCCACACUGGGACUGAGACACGGCCCAGACUCCUACGGGAGGCUGCAGCAGGGAAUAUUGUGCAAUGAGCGAAAGCUUGACACAGCGACACCGCGUGUGGGAUGACGGUUCUAGGAUUGUAAACCACUUUCAGGAGGGAAGAAAAUGACGGUACCUCCACAAGAAGACCCGGCCAACUAUGUGCCAGCAGCCGCGGUAAUACAUAGGGGUCAAGCGUUGUCCGGAUUUAUUGGGUGUAAAGAGCUCGUAGGCGGUUCAACAAGUCGGUCGUAAAAGUUUAGGGCUCAACCCUAAAAUGUCGAUCGAUACUGUUGUGACUAGGAUACGGUAGAGGUGAAUGGAAUUCCGAGUGUAGCGGUGAAAUGCGUAGAUAUUCGGAGGAACACCAAUUGCGAAGGCAGUUCACUGGACCGUGAUCGACGCUGAGGAGCGAAAGCUAGGGGAGCAAACAGGAUUAGAUACCCUGGUAGUCCUAGCUGUAAACGAUGGAUACUAGAUGUAGGAACUGGAUUGACGGUUUCUGUAUCGUAGCUAACGCGUUAAGUAUCCCGCCUGGGGAGUACGGUCGCAAGACUAAAACUCAAAGGAAUUGAC
Molecule: ribosomal RNA, 857 nt
Filed under: uncultured Actinomycetes bacterium
Lineage: Bacteria; Bacillati; Actinomycetota; Actinomycetes
Description: bacterial SSU rRNA
Rfam family: Bacterial small subunit ribosomal RNA
Source: RNAcentral